Molecule: long non-coding RNA, 8017 nt
Organism: Lagopus muta (rock ptarmigan)
Lineage: Eukaryota; Metazoa; Chordata; Aves; Galliformes; Phasianidae
Exons: 21
Source: RefSeq, a predicted model, not a curated record
GUGUUCCUCACUGCAAGCUUAGAUGGUUGUAGAUGUCACCUCCCUGUGCAGGAUGCAGCGACAGGAAUGGGAUGAAGGGUGUAGGCUGUGCAAUGAAGGAAUAAGCUGCAGUUGAAGGUACCUCAGCUGCUCCCCAUCAGACUUGUGCUCCAGAACCUUUGCAUCUUCAUUGCCCUUCUCUGGACAUGCCAUGGGGCCUUGAUGUCCUUCUGGUAAUGAGGGACCCAAAACAGAACACAGCACUCAAGACUGCGGCAGGAACACCAUGCUCUUCAGAGGAAAGUGUGUGCUGAACUUUUCACCUCUGUGGCUGUGGAAGCUGGUUCAGCUCCCUCUGACACGCUGGGGCAUUCGGAAGGAAGGUGGUCAGGAGUGAGGGAGGUGAGAUGUACAGGAAGAAAUAAAGCGUGGGUGAGUAAGAAAGUCUGUGAUCACCUAGAAAGGGACUUGGACUUCAUGCAGAAGAUGAAAACCAUAGGCAGUAAGAAAAUACACGUGCCCUGGCUGGGGCAUAUCAGGUAGUCCAUGCACAAUGGCAUUAACAUAACAAAAAAUUCAGGGAAGACAAAAAGCAGAGAAGAUGACAGAGAACUGGAGGACAACCAGAGGUAAUGCAACAAAGAAAUCAAUGGGGAGCAGAAAAUUAAGCAAGAGUUUGAGGUGAAAUGGCAAAACCAGAGGGAAAGGUGUCAGAGCCCUUUGCAGGAUGGGAGGAGGAGGCUGGGCACAGACAGUGUCACUGGGGACAGGCAGUGUCAGUCACCUGGCCUGCUACAGGAAUGCCAGAAAUAAGGAAAAGAGCAACAUAGGUCAUUUUCCUCGGGGCUGUGGCAAAGCUGCAAUGAACUGCAGUUGAUGUUAUGGCUGUGCUUCCUUGAGACUUGAUGUGGGCCGCACCUGCAUACCCGCACGGGCAGUGCCAUUCCUGGAGCUAACUCUGUGGGCAGCCCCAGGUCAUCGCCCUGGUGUAACAGUGUGCAGCGCUCCAGCAUCAGAGCCAUUAUCUGAAAGAAGUGCCAGCCAGGAGACAGAGCGCAGGCAAGAUGCCAAGCCCAAGUUGCAUCAGUUAAUGUGUAACUCGUCAUGCGCCAGCUCCUGCCUGCAGCAGCACCGGGCGCUCGGUGGCAGGAAUUGGAGCAGGAUCUGGCAUGGGAGGAGAGUGACGGAGCGCUGCACCCCACAGCAGCUGGCUUAAGGUGUGGUCCUGGUCUGCUCUGGUCUCACUGAACUUUGAUCUGCCUCUUUAUAAUUACGAGCCUGGACCCUAAAGGUGCUGAACUCUCAUGGGAGCUCUCCAAUCAAGAGUAUUAACAAGGAGCAAUCGGCAGGGCAGUAGGAUGAAUGGAGAACAUGGAAGACCUGAAGACUCUUCAGAGAUACCAUCUUUCUCAGAUCAAGAAUAUCAAAGGGUGAAGGAAGGAACAGAACUGGACUCGAAGUCAAGUUUGGUGAAGCUGCACCAUCUCCUUAGCCCUCAGCAAUGAAUUUAUGAUUAUUAUGAAAUUUGUCGAGGACUUCAAUUACAAUCAAACCACAAGGAGGACAAACAGCAAACACAAUAAGCUGCUGGCUGACUUGCUCAGUGCUGGCAAAGCAACAGCCUGGGUGAACGAUAUCUGUUUAUAUGGUGGUUUUGAGAAGAGAAGAGGAAAUGCUAUGUUGUCUUCAAUCAAAGAAGUGUGGCCACGGAAAGAGGAGAGCUGAAACUGGUCAAGAUGCUACACCAUGGCAUAUAGGGACUGGAGCAGCAUGUCACAGAAGAGCCACUCUUAUCUUCUGCUGGUUCCUGGUGUAGAAGACAUUGUGAUGCUUGAUGACUUCUGUGCAGAUCUCAUCACCAUUUCCUGUUAUUUUGCAAAGAUGUUCUUCUAACUGAGAAGUGCUAUACAGUCUCUUCUAGACGAGAUGUCAGACUAGAAUGGACAGUUUCUUAGCAUCUGAAUUGGAGCCCAGUACACUCCUUCAGCCAGAGAUCAUGUAGCAGUGAACUGACAUUCAUUCCAGAUUAUUUCCCCAAGAGAUUGCUGGCAGACAGGCUGCUCUUUGCCGGGCCUGAAGUACUGCAAGCUUUGUUUUCCCAAUAUUCAAGUGAUAAUGGUGCCAAACCAGAGCAGCAAAAGCAGACUGUGAAACUCAGUGAUGCUACUGCCAUCUCCAGCUGUCCUCCUCUCAUGCUCCCCCACAGGCAGCUAGCUUGGAUAGCGGACUCGAGGGAACACAUGUACUGCUGCCGGCGUCUCUCCACACCCACUCUGUGUGAUGACUACAGAAUCAUUUUAAUCAAGAAUGAAGACUACAUAAUUCAAGCAACAGGGUCAAAAGUCUGAUGUCUACAGGGAAAGUGCAUUGGUUUAACUUCAGUCAGAUUUUAAAUCUUGGUUUUAAGGCUUGGCUAAAUAAUUAGGUCAAACCACUGCAACAUUCCCACGUAACUAAGGCCUUAAAAAGGAAUUUUAAAGAUAUGUAUCUCAGUUAAAUACUUUAGCUACAGUCUGAAACAUAUUGAAGUCAAUGAGACAGGAAAGCAAGCUGCCAACAAGAUACACUCUGAAGUGUCUUUCUGAAUCAGUGGCUUCAUUUUCUGCUCUAAGGAAGACACCUCCAUUUCAGCAAAAGUCAUCUUGAGAUCAUGGCAUUUUCUUAGAUCUCUGCCAGUCCAUGAAGCCUACGAGAGGACAGUGCUACAGAGGCUUCAGGAGAGUGCUGCAGGAAGCUGGAGGGAACAGAUUCUCAGCUAUACAUUCCAUUCCAAAGAGACCGUGAUGAAACACGAAGAGGACUGCGGACUGUUCCAGCUGAGAAUAAAGAAAUAAAAAACAGUGCCAUCUUGUGGCCUACAGUAUUCUGAGCAUUGCCAAGAGGAAAGAGGAAAAUCUUUUACACUAAGAAAAAAGUACAGAUAACUUCUGGUCAAACAAGAAAACCAUAACACAAGAACACUAAUGGCAAGACAAAGGACCUGAACAAUACCACACUUUGGCCAGAGUACAGAAAUCAAAGCUCUACAAAAUGUACUGGGAGCAACAGGCACGUUGAUAUCCUUUCCAUGAGCAAUAGGUGGCUUAGAUGAGAAAUGGUAGUGCACACGUAUGAUUAGAUUGCCAAACAAGAUGACAGAAUGUUUUCUUCAGCAUUACAUGGCUAAAAUGACUUUAUCAUUUUGUACUAUACUGCCUUAAGCAAUAACCUGAGCAUCAGAUCUGUGCAGAUAUAUCUAGGCUUAAAGUCUGGAAAUCCUAGCUGAAUCAAAAAGUCUUCACGACUAUUUAUCUCCAGGGUUUAUGUUCUGUAUCAUUUUACUAGUGAUUCCUCUUUCCCAGCUGUGUGUCUUCUGCCUUAUCCAGACAGAACUAGAUCUAGUUACCCCUUUCUGGAAACCUCUGUAAUGUAUUCUUUGUGAUAUCCAAAUUAUAUCAUUGGUGACAUUAAUGGCAAAUGGGACCCAUUAGAAGGCGUCACAAGUGAGUUGUCAGAUGUUGAGGCCAUGACUUCUCCCUAUCUCUCCAGAUGACAGUGAGUAAAUAUUUUGAGGUAAGGGAUUUAGAUAGAAGUCUUUGAUCUUCUUGUGUGCGCUGCAGAAGCUUCUGAACUCAAACAGAGACGGGCAGACAUCGAUCAUGCUAACAGACAGCUGUCACAAGAAGCAAUGCCACUUAUAAUUGGAAGUACAAUCCUUCGAGUGCUGAAAUCUGGCUAAGAAGAUGAAAAUGUUCUUUCUGUCUUCUGCUGAGCUUCAAGGGAAAGGGAAGAGGGAAUUCAACUUGCUGGCAUCAUCCCCAGGCAAUUUUAUUGACUGUGUGGCUGUCAAAGGGGACUGACCGAAAGAUCAGACAUGACCUGAUUGACCGGAUGUAGGUUGUUGUUUUAGUUUUAGUUUCUGUGAAUCCUAUGUGCUUUUGGAGUCACCAGAGAUAAGAUGAGGAAAAAUACACAGGAGGGAAACGACCUACCUUGUUGGAUGUAACAAUCACUCCAGCAGGAAGUUUUGUUGAUGUGAAGUCAGAAACUUUUAACCCCAUUCAGUAAAGCUUUUGGCCUAUGGAAUUUAAUGGAAAUUCUGUGUCACUAGCCAAACAGCUACGAAACCUUUGUGAUAACUUUGGCAAAUGAAGAUACAUUUUCCUCUUCCUGUGAUCAGCAAGGCAGCGGGUAGGCAGCUCUAGUCACUAGAGCAGGCACAAGGCUUUUUACAUUUCUCUGCAGAGGAAGCUUAUUAAUUUACUAUGCCAAAACCAUCGUGGUCAUGCAACAGUAAAACAUCUUUUGCUCUAAGUUUGGUCCUUGAAUGAAUCAUAGGCUCUUGGAGCACUGGAUUUAACAAAUUCUCUUCGUGUUUUUCUGUCAACCUGUAUUUUUUCUGUCAAACUCUGAUUUCCCAUCUCUGCGUCUUUGAAGCUUAUCCCUGAUAAAAGACAGCACUUAUGUCAAAAUAUACUAAUGUCAUUUUGACACAGAAGUGCACAGCCUGGAAGCCAUUUCGCUUGGCAGAAUUAUCUCCUUUGGCAGCCUCACCACAGCUGAGCUGAGCUGCUGGGCACUCAUGUGUGUUUGUCCCCCUCUUUUUGUCAGAGGUAAAUCCUUGGGACUUUCAUCAGCUCACAUGAGAUAAACAGUAAUGCAAAUAAUGCUGAAAAAACUUGCUAGUCUGAGACUGUUUUCUGGGAAACAGUUUCUUGUUAGUUUUGGGGGUUUAAUUCAGCACACUAGGAUAAUUGAGGGAAAUGAGUAACGAUUCCAGACAGUGUUUGCUUCUUCUCCUGCUGCUUCAGAAUGAAGUUUUUAGUGAAUAAAAGUGAUAAAUAGUUUGAAAUUAUUCCUUUCUGAAUAACUGUUAUGCUCAUGAUUCCAUCUUAUCACUUUGAUAAUUACUCUAGAUUGUAGUCACAUAUGAAUACCAGCUUUUUACUUUCAAGGGAAGAAUGAUCUUAGGAACUGGACUUUGGAUCUGAGUUCUCUCUUCUACAUCUGACAGAAGAAGCCAAAAAUCUUUCUACUGUCACCUCUCAGCUGUAGCUCACAGUAGGCAGUACAAUUCAGUACCAUAGGUCUCUGGGCAUAAUGCCCCUUGGUGAAACUGGCCGUUCCAUACCUGGCACUGCCCUGAUCUCCCUCGAUCUCAAGUUAAAGUCAGAAGCACGGAGAGUUCCCUGAUACUCCAAGUGCAAAUAUCUACUGGUGUUCUAGAAACUGUGUGUUUUAACCUGCUUGAUAUCAUAGCAAUGAAUUGUUCAUUAAAAAUAUUGCUUUCUGCUAGCAUUAGACCUAGGAUUAAAGUUGAAUUCAAUUCCUUUUUUGAACUCAGUAUGAACUUCAGACCCAAGAUGAAAUAUCUUAUUGUGUCUGCAUGAAGAUAUGAGGAACGCAAAGAAGCUCAAGGCAAGUGAAGUAAAUUUUGAGCUAUUGAGGUAAAUAGAAAAGCUGCUGUAACUUCACUAGAGUCAGAAUUCCCUAGCAUGUGACAAAGUGGUAUGUUUUAAUUUUGUGCUAAACAAUGACAACCAACAUAUCAGGUCAUCUUUAUGAGAAAGCAGCGUGGCUGAGAAGGCCAUUAAAAUGAAAUCAAGGCUUGAAAUAAUCACUGAAUAACUUUCUAUUGGAAGAUGAAAGUACUAUCACAACUAAGAAAAAAAUACUAACAAUUAGUAAUUUUACAAAGUGUCACAUUGCUCAGAAUUCAGAAUUUAUUAACUCAGAGAAAUUAAGACAACAAACCUGUCACUGCCUCAUGCAUUUGUGGUGGAGUUCCUUAUAAGAAGUCUCCUCUUUUUUGAGUUAAAUCGGUGAACUUUGUUCAGUGCUUCCUGGCACUAGGUGCAUCAUUACAAAUAUUUCUAAAAUGAGGAAGAUCCUUGUCUAGAUGAGAGCUGAAAGCAAAUAGCUGAAACAAGAAAACAGUUGCAACAUCUCAAUACAGCAUUCUUAUUAUGGCAAUUUAUAUUAAAAUGUCACUUAGAGAACCACAAAGGCCUCAUCAUAUUCCCAAACUGUACCCUGUACCUGUCUGUCUGCCUUGCCUUCAUCUGCAUCAAAUAAUGAGUGAUGUUUCACUUGAAAAUCUUUAGAGCAAUGAAUCAAAACAUCUGUAAUAGAAAACAGAAAUAAAGUAUUUCCCACAUGUUAUGAUAAGUUUUUGCAAGGGAGAAAUUGGCUAAGGAGUCUUUCUCUAGCUUUAACUGCUAGAAUGAUUUUGGAAAGUAGGACUGUGUGCUGAGUGGUAGGUACAUAUUUUUGCCUACCAUAGGCAAAUUGAAGAGAUACAGUAUUUAUCAUUUUAUUGACACGUUGACAAAUAACAAAGUCUACAGGGUUUUCUUUCUCCUGAAGACUUUAUACUACAGCCCAAUCAUUUAUGUGUGCCAAUAUACUUUACAACUCUACUGUGAAGUUGGCUGUGAAAAGAGUAUCAAAGUAUUGGGGUUGGUGCAAAGCGGUGAUUUAAAACGAGAGAGAGAGAAUGGAGCUUUCAAAUCUUCUUCAGAUUAUAUCCAUUAAAUCUGAUUGCAAAGAAGAGGUUCAAAGAAAACAGUUUUAAUCAGACUACUGGGGCUGAGAACACCUUUCUUAAAAAAAAAGAAUACAUGGAGUCUUAAUUUUCUUCAAAGGAAGGGUCAAUUAAAAUAAAUACUUUUAAUUCUUUACAGCAACCUUUUUCUGUUGGAUUAACUUCAAUUAAUCCUUCAUCUUCUAAAUUGCAUUGGCACAAAAAUCUAUUGUCUUUAUUUUCAGAGGAACAUUGCAAAACUCUAUCAUGCGUCCUUGUGCAAAGAACUUGAAGGAUCUCAUACACACAGAGUGAGAGCAUCAAAACCAACUUUCAUGAAUUACAUAGUUUUUUUUUACAAGUAUGGUCACUCCUCAGAAUUUUCCAGAGUUACUUUCUCUGUGAUCCUCUCUGAGCCUGGCUCUAUCAGUCCAAUAACCAGUUUACUCAUAGCAGUGAACAAAACACAUAAUCCACUGCUUUCUUUGAAAAAUGAACUCUGGAUGUACAUCACUACUGAACCUCUGUUACGUAUAAAGCAGGCUGUGUAAACAAAAUCCCAGUGAUUAUAUUUCACCCACCGCCUUUCUUAAAAUAAAGAGUACAAUCUUGAACAGUCGGUUCAGAGAGAAACAACAGGGUGAGGAGAGCUAUCUUCCUUCUUCUUCAAUGAGAAUGUUUGCUUUAGUUCAGACUCAGCAGGCCGAAAGACAAGAAAGGUGUUUCUGCCUAGGGAGAGGCCAACAACAAGAAGCGAGAUGAUAUAGCCGUAUGCUUCUGCAGCAGCACAAAGCCUCAUGGUUGAGUGGGAUCUUGCAGGGAAACUUGUAGAAAGUGCACCCAACUCAUUAAACCUGAGAGCGGGGAGGUCUGUUUCUUGUGUUGCACUGGUUGUUACAACAGCUGGCUAAAUUCAACUGCAGUUGUAGUGGACAGCAGCAGUUGGGGGCCUAGCUUGUUGUCUGGUCAUGAGGGACCCCUACUAUAAGCUGUCAUCACUCAUCUAAUGAGCCUGAAACAAGAACAAAGACUCCUUGGCCAUACUUGCUAUCUUUAGAAGAGGUGGCAUGAACCCACAACUACUGUGUGUGGUAAGACCAGUUGUAGCUGAGCUCUGAGUACCGAUGACAGAGGGUCGGGAUCAAUUUGCAUGCUUAAUCCCAGGCUCAAGUGGGCAGGCACUGUGGCUUCCCAGUGCACAGGCACAUGUGCACUUCUUCUGCUUUAAGCUUUAAAAGUACUCGGAACUCUCUGAAGCCCUGGUAUCCAAACCAGAUUAAAGCAUCCAGCAGCUUGAUUUUCAGAAGUCUGUCCUUUGUGUGACCAUUUUUUCUCAUUUUGUUUAUCAAUUGUUCACUUUUAUACUAAGAUAAAACCUAAGACUAAACAAAGAUUGUUUAUAAAUGCCAUGGGUUGACCUCAACUAUGUAUGAUCAACUGAUAAUAAACAUAUUACAGUACCAACAGCUGCAUAAGGAUUUAAGAAUACGAAGUCCUCAGCAAUAAAAACUACUGAAUAACAUCCAUAUUUGUAUC